This is a long non-coding RNA of Odocoileus virginianus texanus, 336 nucleotides long. RefSeq lists it as uncharacterized. NCBI's taxonomy places the organism in Eukaryota, Metazoa, Chordata, Mammalia, Artiodactyla, Cervidae. The record is from RefSeq and is a predicted model, not a curated record.
UGGCCAGAGAGCUUCCGGGCACGGACACAGGCAGCCCCAAGCCGGCUCUCUGGGGAGAGCAGACAGGCAGCAAGACGCCGCUCGGAAUGUCCCUCCAGCCCGGGACACCACGGCAGUCUCCCUGGUCCCCGCGGCACCGCCAGGCCAGCAGAUGGUAUGACCAGAUCAAGUUCUGCAAUGCCUUCCAGGGACUCUAUCCUGACUGGCUUCCAGAGGAACGGGCACUUACGUAAAGUAAACCUUCCUAAACUCCCAGAGAUACAAGCACCAACUCAACUGUUUUUCUAGUUCAUGUACUUGGGUAAAUCUUUGCUAAAUAAAACCAGCUUAAUAGUG